CACGAUACGAGUCACAUUGUUGAAAAGGCUUGCACUACAUUCAAUUUCCUAUGAAGUUGAACUUGAUCACGUUAUUCGAACUCAAUAUGUUUCAUGUUGAACUGAAUCCUCAAAAUUUUGUUUGCUUGUCUUGCUAAUCUCUUGUGAUUCUGCUAUUUUUGGGCGCGAGGGAUCAGUGGAUAACACCAUCCACAACUGGACCAUUGACGAGAAUUCAAGGUGCUCAACGGAGCUUGCCGUCUCCAAAGCCUCCUCUGCUCCGUGGAGCUUCGAUGGGUACUCGCUAGUCAGGUGCUUCAAACCAGAUUUGCAGCAAGGGUCCAGAGUUGAUAGAGCUUCAAUAGAGUUGCCUGCUCAUUGCCAUCAGCUUCAGUUCUUAGCAAUGAAUCAUCGGGCCGCCUCUCUCCUUUGUUCUUGUUCAGCAGCGCAGCCAGCUCUGGCCGCCUCUCUCUUUUGUUCUUGACCAGCCAGCGUAGGACAGAAGACAGUCCUCAAUUUUUGGUUCUGUACUUCUUCAAGCCUGAGUAACUAGUUUUGCCCGGGGAUGGAAUAUUACUGCUGUCGCUUGUUAAGCUUUGCAUUGCGUCUCUGAUAUGUUCUUGUUGUGUAUCUUAUAUCUAUUGUUGGGGAUUCUGGGCUGGAUGCUGUGAAGUUGCUAUUUUUAUCAGAGUGGAAUAUAUUCCAGUCAUUAUCUUGACCUGCACAGAUUACAUUUGGAUUGGUUGGCAUGCACUCUACAUGGGCUUAUGUCUACCUUUCAUUUUUUUUAGCAUCCCUUGCUGAUUGCUGUUGCAAGCUGACUUGCUGGAAGAAGUGAAUAUGUCGACAUGACAUGACAUGACAAUGGCUUUCUUUCGUGUUAUCUGCUCUUCUCAGCUUUUGAUUUGCAGCCCUAGUCAAGUUAUAUAAGUUCUUUUGGUGUCUUCGUCUCCAAUGCUUUUUGAAUUUAUAAUUACUGCUGCUUAUGAAAUGAACAGGGAAGGCGAGGGAUAGUUCAUCAGCUGCGCCGCUGCGCUGAUGCAGCGCAGGGAGAGCGAGGGAUAGUUCAUCAGCUGCUGCUGCGCUGAUGCAACGCAGGGAGGGCGAGAGACAGUUCAUCAGCUGCGCCGCUGCGCUGAUGCAGCGCAGGAAGGGCGAGGGAUAGUUCAUCAACUGCGCCGCUGCGCUGAUGCAGCACUCCUGCUCAGCCCUAUAAGUUUUAUUAAAAUUUUGAUACGAAGAAACUUUCCGGUAUGACAAGAAGACUAAGCACUACUGCUCCGCCCGGGAAGAAGUGUCCUUUGAUUAUGAUUUUUCGAGGGAUCGAGCUUGAUUACAUUACUUGACAUCCAUUCCUUAAUAUUCGAAUUUGUAGUUUAACUAUCAAAUUUGUUGUUCCUUUUAUGGUACCUGCACUGGAAAUAUACACACAUAUACGUACAGAAUUUUGAACUCAACUUUUCUAUGAUCUUCUUCUGAUUUUGGGACCAAUAUUGCUAGACUUUACUACGAUGCGGCGGUAAUCUCGGGAGUCGGGACAGAUGCUAUAACUUUGUUAUGAUCUUAAGACUGAUUCGGUUCUAAUUUUUGCAAACUCAGUCCUUUCUAGCUGCAUUGUCAUGAUCAAUCUGUUUGGGGGUCAUUUGGAGAUUAAUUAAAUUAGUUCUGUCUGGAGUAUCUGCCUUCUUUAUUAACGAGUUUACAGCCCUGGGAAGGGCUCUCAUAUGUUACUAAUACUUUUGCUUAAGAAUUCCUACGGCGCAGGUUAAACAUAUUUUGGGAAAACAUUUGAACAAAUGUGAUACACGCUAUAUUACAACACGGGAAACCCACUAAAUAGUGAUGAUUCAGUUACAGGGCUGCAGGGCUAAAAAACACUUGGACCCUACUCGGGAGAGCAGCACAGCGCUGACUCUAUACCGCAUACCACUAGUUGAACACGAAGAAGACAUAGUUCAACCAGACUAGGGGGAGUAGCUGAUGAGGACUAGAAUACUCAUCAGCGCUGUUUAAUUGAAGACCUUAGAUAAUAAAGGGACUCGCCAGCGCAGACUACGGGAUUUGGCGGCGCAGAUUAAGGGACUCGCCAGCGCAGACUACGGGACUUGGCGGCGCAGACUACCCAGGUUACUCGGCAGCAAAGACUAGCCUGCGCAGCUCAAGGGAGCUACUCAACAUGAGCAACGAAGGACAUCGCAAAUGGAUUAAGUCAAAACUAAAGUGUAUUAAGGCAUUAAAGGGCCUAAAUCCAAUUAUUAG
Salvia miltiorrhiza (redroot sage) is the source of this 2238-nucleotide long non-coding RNA. RefSeq lists it as uncharacterized. NCBI's taxonomy places the organism in Eukaryota, Viridiplantae, Streptophyta, Magnoliopsida, Lamiales, Lamiaceae. The record is from RefSeq and is a predicted model, not a curated record. The transcript is spliced from 3 exons.